CGUGUGUAAAGGUAGUGCCAAGAAAAGCGAUGAUCAUGUUGAAAAUCAAUUCCCGGUACCCGAAACCGACACAGGUGGGCAAGUAGAGAAUACUAAGGGGCGCGAGGUAACUCUCUCCAAGGAACUCGGCAAAAUGACCCCGUAACUUAGGGAGAAGGGGUGCCACCGAGAGGUGGUCGCAGUGAAGAGGCCCAGGCGACUGUUUAGCAAAAACAUAGGUCUCUGCAAACUCGAAAGAGGAGGUAUAGGGGCUGACGCCUGCCCAGUGCCGGAAGGUUAAAGAAGUUGGUCAGUUUUAGGAUGAAGCUAGCGACUGAAGCCCCGGUGAACGGCGGCCGUAACUAUAACGGUCCUAAGGUAGCGAAAUUCCUUGUCGGGUAAGUUCCGACCCGCACGAAAGGCGUAACGAUCUGGGCGCUGUCUCGGAGAGAGGCUCGGCGAAAUAGGAUUGUCUGUGAAGAUACGGACUACCUGCAUUUGGACAGAAAGACCCUAUGAAGCUUUACUAUAGCUUGGAAUUGUGUUCGGGCUUCCUGUGCGCAGGAUAGGUGGGAGGCGUAGAAGGUAUUCUUGUGGGGAUACUGGAGCCAACGGUGAGAUACCACUCUCAGGAGGCUAGAAUUCUAACUUAAUUAAGGACAGUUUCAGGUGGGUAGUUUGACUGGGGCGGUCGCCUCCAAAAAGGUAACGGAGGCGUACAAAGGUUCCCUCAGACUGGUUGGAAAUCAGUCGAAGAGUGCAAAGGCAGAAGGGAGCUUGACUGCGAGAAGUACAGUUCGAGCAGGGUGGAAACACGGUCUUAGUGAUCCGACGGUGCUGUGUGGAAGGGCCGUCGCUCAACGGAUAAAAGUUACUCUAGGAUAACAGGCUGAUCUCCCCCAAGAGUUCACAUCGACGGGGAGGUUUGGCACCUCGAUGUCGGCUCAUCGCAACCUGGGGCGGAAGUACGUCCCAAGGGUUGGGCUGUUCGCCCAUUAAAGCGGUACGUGAGCUGGGUUCAGAACGUCGUGAGACAGUUCGGUCCAUAUCCGAUGUAGGCGUGAGAAUAUUGAGAGGAGCCUUCCUUAGUACGAGAGGACCGGGAAGGACGCACCGCUGGUGUACCUGUUAUGAUGCCAAUUGUAAACGCAGGGUAGCCAAGUGCGGAGAGGAUAACCGCUGAAAGCAUCUAAGUGGGAAGCCCACCUCAAGAUGAGUAUUCUGGUGUAAGGUCACGGGAAGACGACCCGUAAAUAGGCACGAGGUGGAAGUGCAGAGAUGUAUGAAGCCGAAGUGUACUAAUAGACCGUCGGCUUGACC
RNAcentral lists this ribosomal RNA (1299 nucleotides) under metagenome. RNAcentral's name for it is "bacterial LSU rRNA". It matches the Rfam family "Bacterial large subunit ribosomal RNA", at positions 1591 to 2925 of the family's 2925-position model. The record is from RNAcentral.